This 1100-nucleotide long non-coding RNA is filed under the name Homo sapiens (human). RNAcentral describes it as "HSALNT0026086". Lineage: Eukaryota; Metazoa; Chordata; Mammalia; Primates; Hominidae. The record is from RNAcentral.
CUGGGGCACAGAGAAGGCGCCCACAACAUCCCAAUGGAGAAUCGCACUGCCGGUGGUCAUGAGAUAGACUGGGGCACAAAGCAGGCGCCCACAACAUCCCAAUGGAGGAUCACACCGCCAGUGGUCAUGAGACAGAUGGGAUUCUGCAGAGGUGCUUAGGCCACUUCCCACGGGGCCCCUGCCAAUGACUUUGCAAUUACCUUUCAUGAACAUGUGGAGAAGAGCCUAUCGUUGUAAGUCCCGUUUCCAAAGAGACUUGAACUAGUAGCACCCAAAGGCAGCUGAUGGGAUAGGAAAGGCAUCAGAAUUUUUAAAGUUGGGUGAGCCUGGGUUCAGAUCUCAGAGUCACAUUGUCACUUGCCCUCCCUAAGUUUCACAGUUUCUCAUCUGCAAAGCAGAGCGGGUGAAAGCACACCUCUGCAUUUGACCUUCACAGUAGACCAGCAUGUGCAUCCUGCAUUCCUGUCCACACUGUCGGGAAACACAUUUAUGGAGAUGAUUAAAUGUGAAAAUACAGCUGUAACCAGAGGUCAGAGGCCAGAAUCCAGUUCAUUCUGCCUCCACAGCCCAUGCUCUUCCAGCCACACCCUCAAGCAUAGCCAACGUGUCCCUGGAUGACAGGCCUUCUUUCCAGCCUCCCCAAAAAUCUCAAAAGGCUGAGCCUGUCAUCUCUGAACUACAGCAGCCUGGCCAGGUUAAAGGGCAUCCCCUGGUCCAAUGCCUGACUUUCAGCAAGAGCUUUAACCAGUAACUGGGACCCAGAGUCAAACACAAUGGCCUGGAAGUUUCCCAAACCUCAGAUAGGACAACAGUUGGUGCACGUGGGUCCUCCAGAUCCCGUGUGACCCUGGGAAGACUGCCCCUCAUCAAGCCGCAACUUCUCCCAUCUCAGUCCCUCCAUAUCUCGGGAACUCCCCUUGGUCCUCAUAUCCUCUCCCUUCCAUGGCAGGAAGCCCAUCUCCACUUGCACCAAAGUGACGCCAGAGCCUCACGUGCUCCUGGCCAGUCCUCUCUCCGUCCAUCUUACCACCACCAAGUCAGCACUGUUUGCACCUCUGCAAGUGGGUAAAUACCCAUUCUAAGAAGGACACUGUCUUAAG